CAAUAUUGCAUAUAUUUUUAUUUUAUUUCAUAAUUAAUUUACCAUUGAAAGUAAAUUAUGAAAGUAUAUUGAAAGUAAAUUGGCUGAUAUUCUUUGGUUUAUUCUUAUCUAUUUCUGUGAUACUAAAUUGAGGAUGUCCUCCUGAAACCAAUAGAGAAACACUCUUGGAAAACAGGAAAAUAAAAAAAGCCUCAUUUUUAUUGUUGCCAUUGUUAUUAUUAGGAUAUUAUCCUCCUUUUUGAUUUGAAGUAAUGUAAGAUUGAAUAUUAAAAUUAUGUAAAAAUUUAAAAGUAAAUAUAUAGAUCAGUCUGUGUCCCAAUACAGCAGCAAACAUUUUUAAAAAUAAUCAAUUUUGUGUAUUGUCUAAAAUAUUCUGGUUUUCUUUUAAUAAAAUGUGAUUUGACCAUGGAAAAAGAUAUUUGAAGGAUACUCUUUGGCUGCCUUCUUUUAUAUGUGUGUUCUUAUUUUUAAUUGAAACUUCCAUCCUCAGAAUGUUAUUCACAAGUGUGAGAUUCAUCACACUUAUCUCCAGCAAUAUAAAAGUCAAAUAGCUUAGCUGUGAUUUAACUCACCCAACCUUAGAAGUGGCAAUUCAGUUACAGACUGCGAAGUGUAAAUUCAUGUGCUCACAAUACAGCUGUUACGUUUCAGCUAGGGAACACUUAAAAGGCUUUAACAUAAUCAUCUGUAACACUUAAGGUAUGCUAAAGUAUCUUGCCUGAAUUCCAGCUGCCAGUUCAGAAUAGAAGAUGUAUUAACCAUGGACAGAUAUCUCAGGUAUCCCAGGAUGCCCUGAAUUCCACCUAAGCAUGCAUAUCUCAAAUUAUUUGAAAACUCUUUUUAGAAUCCAGUCCCAAACAUCUGCCUUCAGUUCAAGGAGAUAGGAUUGUAUACGAAUGCUGUCAGUCAUAACUGCAACAAUUUAAAUUAAGGCAAUAAACCAUUCCAGUAGUUUAACACGGAAUAUUAGUACACAUGGCAAAAAAAAAAAAAAAAAAAAAGUUUUAAAAUUUAUUUCAUUAAAUAAAAUUUCUCAUUGUUGUAUUCUAGUCUACUUGUCCAAUGUCAGAAUGUCAGUCAGAGGUAAAGGCAGGGAGAUUGAAGUCUGUUUUAGAAAUAUAAUAGGAUUUCUGAGAAAGAAUUGCAUCAUAAACUAAAGAAAGCAGAAAGGAAAAUAGCAACAAAAACAACAAAAGCAACAACAAAACCUACAAUUUUUAAGCCCAUCUAUGAAUCUCUGGCCCAAAUGCUGAGACCACAGGAGAUACACUGUAGAUAUUCACACUUCUAAAUGAGCAAGAAACAGAAUUAAAUCAUAGGCUCAAUCUCCAAGCACAAAUUGGCUCAUGUUCACAUUGCCAAGGGCUUGUCCCUUCUUUAGCAGUUUUGUCUUGGACUGAGCUAGUUGAGAGCAACAGAAAAGAGCUAAAUUAUGAUAGAACAGUUAUUCAGUAGGAAUUCUCCAUUAUGGAUUAUGUGUUAUGGAUUAUAGCUAGGGUGUUUGAGUUUAUUCACAUUCUGAUUUAGUUAGCUUAGCAUAAUAAAGGACCCUGUUCCAGUCAGUUAUGGGGCACUCAGUCUGACUCAAAAGGACAUAUGUCACACACUUAUGUUUUCCAAGUUUUUUCUUCAUUCACUAAUGUUUGAAAAUUUGAUCCUGCACUGAUUCCUCAUGAUACAGACAGAAGAGGGAUUCAAAACUUUCUUUUUUGUCCCCACAAGAGCAAUUCUUCCUAUUUUAAUAAACAAUGAAAUUUUGAAAAACAGUAUUAUUCCACUGAAAACCACAGAAACUUACAGUGAAUGGGAUUUUGUCUACAAAAAUAUAUGUACUAAUGAAAAACAUAUUUUGAUAAUUUCUAUUUACUUUCCUUAUCAUAUGAGAUACAAUUAUGGCUCCAUUAAUACUAGUAGUAUCAACCCUUCCUAAAAUUAGCAUUCUUUACUAAAUGUCUUUACCCUAAGAUUUUUGCUUUGUAUUGAGAAAUGUAUUGCUUUCAUAAAACCAUCUUUAGAAAUAAUAUCCAUGUAAAUCAACUGUAUCAUAUUAUCUGACCAGAACUCUGCUGAUGAUGUAACACUUCUAAUCAGAACUGAUCCUUUAAAAUACAUGGCGUAUUUCUAAACCUCAUCAAUAAAUUUUUUCCUCAAUUUUAUUCCAUUCCUAAUUCAUCAGGAGGCAUAAUCUACAUGCUCAGGUACUGUAAGAAUGCAGCUAAGAAUCCUGGAAUUAAUUAUUCAGAUUAAAAUUUAUGAAUGCUAUGAAUUUGUUCAAAGGAAAAAUGGGCUUAAUUUAAUAUACAUGUCUGCAGCUGAGCUAAUAAGUUUGGGCAGACAGCAAUUCAUGGAUCUGUAAUAAGAACAACUUCCUUCUGAGCUUAAUUUUUGUAUUGCCUUAUUACCAAAUCAAGUCUAAUCAUUACUCUAAAUAUACAUUCAGAUUUAUGUAGUUGCAGAGGAGUAUUGUCUUACACUAAAAUUUUAGUUAGUUAAGAUCAUCUUUCAUUAAUAGCAGCACAGCUAUAGAAAGACCUUUCAAAAAUGUGCAUGCUUCUUUUUCCCAUGGGUGCUCUUAGCCAAUGUCAAUAACAUCUUUCACUCUGUUGCUCAGACCAGCAGUUCUUCUUUCUGAAAAAUUUCAGCAAAUCUGCAGGGCCUAACACUGUAUUUAGUGCAUUCUUUUUGUUCAUUCUUAUUCUGUCAUGUUUUGUUUCUGAAAAAAAAAAUAUUUAAAAAAGGCAGACAGAAAACAAACAAACAAACACAACCCCAAACCAGAAAAUCCUUAAAUGUAGAAGGUAUCUUCAUUAUUUUUACUACUAUAAAUAUUAUUAUUCCCUGCCACACAUAAUGUCAUUGGGCAGAACACAACUUCUGGUAGGUUUUUGCAACAGUGAAAAUGUACCCCAAAAUUUAGAAAAUUGUUUCUAUCUUAGCGGUUUAGAUAUAUCCAUUGACCUAUCUUUCUGAGGAAUGCUUCCAGCCUAGGUUAAUAAUUUCAUACACACACUUUUUUUAAACAACCAUGAUCUUCACCACCCUAUUUGUAAAUAUUUCCUUAACAAGCUAGCUAAGAUAGAGACAAAUCGACAAUAAAGACACCUCAAAACACAUCCUUUAUAAACAAGCUACCUCAUUUUGAAUCAUUUGCUUACCAAAUUGCAACAGUGGGAAAAAAAUCCCAUAAUGUUUUGUACUUUCAUUCUCCCCUUUUGUGCUCAAGCUACGUUUUGGCACUUCUGUCUAAAAGUCCUUAUUGCUUGCAAAGUGCCCAGCACACAAUGCUGCAAACAUUGUUGUGCCAUAUUUAUCCUGGGCAAUUGAGUAACAGUCUCUAGAGUCUAGCUACAUAUUCUACAUCCUGCACUUAAAACUUUCUUACCAUCUGUCUGCCCUUAAAGAUCUCUCAUGUGAAUAAGUUGUUACUGUGUGUCCAUAAUUAAAUUAUAUUUUUCCCUUUUCAAACCUCCUGUGACAAUCCACUUAACAGUUUUGCAUUCUAUUUUCAUAAACCAGACUUUCUUUUUUCUGAAACAUUUUCCAUUCCAUUUGUAGCAUUUUAUCUUUCAUCGUGAUGAACUUAAUGACUUCAAUAAUGACUAUAACCCUGGAGUACUGUAUUCUUCAUUUGUAUUUCAAGCUUGACCCAAGAACCUGUUAUUUAUUAUUAUGGUAUCAGCAAUAACUGUCAGGAAUUUUUGUUGUUGUUGUUCUGCUUUUGCUUCCUGAGCCCUACAUUACUUUAAGAGGUCACUAUUAUUGUUAUUACGUACUAUAGCAAUUUCUAAUGACACCAGCUGAAAUAGGUGUCCCAUCCAGAAGCAACAAUUCCAACAUUAAAGAUCUAGCAAUUUAGAAAGACAAAAAUAAAAUCCAAGUUAGAAAAACAGAUGGAAAGAGUAUGUGGUACGCAUGUAUCCUCUAUCGCUAACCUCUAAAAAAUAAUGGCCAUCCUCUAAAAAUUGUCAUGUCUCUACAAACCAUCUCUAAUAUAAUUUUUUUAAAUGUAGUUUCAAGGGUUUGGUUUAAUUCUCAAAUGCAUUUCAUUAUCUGCAGCACAGGUGUAUGUAACUGAGCUACAUUUAGCUCAUUGAGCUACUCCUCUGCUUGUCCAUAGACAUGCCGUGCUUUUGUGGUGUCUUACCUUGCCUGGGCCCCAGCUGAUCAUAUAUUCUACAAGCCUUGAGUCUUUUCUAUCAGCACAUAAGACACCAAGAUAUUUCAAAUUACCUAUUUGAAUCAAGAUAUUUCAUAUUGCUUAUGUGUACCAGGUGAACCAACCCACCAGGCUCUCAGGGUAGAUCAAGAAUUCAAUUCAGUUGUUCCCACAUGGAUGUCUACUCCUAUUCCAAAUGACGUAAUGUAUUCUAGAGUCCAAGUGCCACUUCAGAAAUAUUCUAGUGUGCCCUAGUUCAUUUUUUUUGUGUCUAUCAGUCUCGUUCACACACCCCAGAUACUCCGGGACACCUCUUAGGGCACUACUGACUGUUAGGGCAACUCAUUCGAGCCCAUCAAACUAGAUGAGAAAGAUACCACCUAAUUUCAGGUCAGAUAGUAAUCCAGAAAAUGAGUCAUAUUCCUAAUUUUUUCCACCUGACCAUACUGCUUCUUAAUUCCUUCAUAAAAUUCUAUAAUGUACCCACCCAUCUUUACUAUUUGGAUCCUCAUUUAAAGUAAAAAGAACCAUUAUCUUCACAUGCUUUUGUUUUCCUCAUCACAUUUUAGUGCCUCCUGUUUGCUAAAAUUCUGCUUGCAAGAGAUGCAGUUGAUUCAGAAAUGAAAUAAAGUAACAUAAACCAAAUAUGACAAUCCAUAGUUAGACAUUCUUUAAGACCAAAGCUUGAGGGGUCUGUCUGAAUGCUCAUGACAUCAUCAAAAGUCAUUAAUAGCUAAGACAAUUUGUUCCAGUGGCUUAGCUGGAAAGUAGCUGAGGGGAAUCAAUCUGACUACCUAAUAGAACAACAGAAGUACUGAGGAAUUUUGAUGGUACCAAUGUUUCCAUCGAGCCAGUUCUUUCUGCCAAGGGCACUUUGUGCCACUUAUACCAAUAAAUAAUGGUAGUUUAAGCAGUCAUUCACCUAGGGUCAACUGAGUGUAUUCUAAAAUGGGCUUUUUCUGUCCAUUCUUUGCUAUGAAUUUUUGAUCUUAGUCUUCAAGUGUAUGAUGCAAGAGACUAAUUCCUCCCAGGGGACUUUCUGGUGACUUUGUUCCUCUCUCACAUGACUGAAGAAUGUAUAUAGGAAGUAUUCACAAAAAUUGAACCGGGAACUUUAACUAGUAAAUGGAAUCAUUCAGCAUGACAAUAUGCCCAUUGACCUGGCAAUUAAUCUUGGAGAAGUAAUACUGAGGGAUCUCAUUUAUAUUUCUUAACCCAAAAAAGAUAAAAUUAUAAAGGCUUCAGAAACUCACAGAUAUUAUAUUACAAGUUAACCCACUAAGGUACCAUUGCUAAACAUAAUCAUAAUUAAUGUAAUUUAAUAUAAUACAUUUGCUAUAUUUUUUGUCCCCCUUUUCUCCAUUGCUGAUAUUGCUCUGGGGCAAACUGAGUAAAAUAAAAUUAUUUUUGUGAUUCUGAUUGGUCAUGUCCAUACUUCUAAUACAGUUUAAACAGACUGAUCAUUUUAAACAGAUAACAGAAAUAUUAGGACAACCAUAUCUUACCAACACAACCUAUUAAUUCUUCACCCUCUGACUUCAUCACAAAUACAAAAAAAAGCCCAUUUGUGCAGUAGUCAAAUGCCCUGAAGUCCUGCCCAAUGCCUGGAAAUUUCUGUUUCAUAAAUCACAAAAAAUCCCACAAAUUUGGACUGCACAAGCACAUUGAAUAAUAUUCAGCCACAGAAACUGUCCUACUGCCCAUCUUAUUUACAUACAUCUAUGGGAACUUUGCUAAAUACAGAAGGAUCUACCUAAUGAGAUCCUUUAACAUCUAAGAGUGCCCAUUUUUGAUUACGUGUGAAUAAAAAUGCAGCCAAAUUCUCUCUGACUGAUUCAAAUAGUUAAAAAAAUUACAGAGUUUGGUAUAGAAGAAAACAAUUGCCAUGCAGAUUCAAACUCCAAAUAUAAGAAAAAAAAAGAUGUUAAAGAUCUGAUAUCUUGUGCAUCAUUUUCCAAGAAAGCCCCUAGAUGAAGCCUUGGAGAAGGUUACACAGAAAAUAAAAAGAGCAAUUUUAUCUCAAAUUUCUGCUGUCUUUUGCAACUUAAUAAACCACUAACAAAAAUACAAUGGGAAAGAGUUUGUAACUUUACUUAGAGCUACUUGUCUUUGGGAAACUUUGAUAUUUAUGAGAUCUACAAAUUGUUUCACAGAUAAUGGAAGGUAGAAAUCAUUCUGUUGGGAAAGAUGAGCAUUUAUCAGCCUCUUUCUGCCCUAAUUUUCACCCUAAUGACUUUUGCCACCAAUCUGAAAAAAUGUGAAAUGUUCACUUUGCGUAGUUCACGGCUUUUCUACCUGAGUGAAGAUUAGCAUACAAAGCCUUUUCUUCUACCUCAGAUCACAUCUGCCCCCACUCUUGCUAAAAAAAAAAACCAAAAACUAAACUAAAUAUAAAACCGCUAAGAAAAAAAAAGCUAACUCAAACCGAACAAUAAACCCCCUCAAAGAUUAUAUCACUUAGUUUGAAAUUAGAUCUGAAACUGUAUUUUCAAUGCAACUGCCCUGAAGUUAGAAAAUAACCUGACACAGCCAAUACAUUUAGCAAAGCAACAUAAUAACACAUUUCUAUGCAGUUCCAACAGCACACUUUUUCUCAAAAUGACACACAUCACCCUGGGUAUGAAUUUAAAAUUUUUUCAGGUUGCUCCUAGAAUUCUGUUCACUCUUCUGCAAUGGCAUGCAGGAGGCUACCAUGUAAAAAGGCAUGGAUUUCUAUGGCAACAGUUUAAAUUCUAGGCUAUUCUUAGUUGAAGUGUUUGCAGAAACAAAAACAAAGCACAAACAACCCUUUUAAACUAGAUAAAUAAUAAAUCUCUUUUCUGCCUUUUCUGAAAGAACAGAAAUGCCGUGAUGAUUAAGCAAUAAGUAACUAAAUGCUAUAUAUACUAUACUUGAAGUUACAAGAGUUAUAAGUUAGCAGAAAAAAAUGCCCAUUUUGACACAGCAUGGAUAUCUUAUAGGCUUCUAAUAUUAGAAAUAACAUCAUGACUGUCAUUAUCAGCAAAUAAAACAUUUACUUUUUGGUUAUUGCUCUUAAUGCAGUACAACUGAACAUAUUUAAUACAUUUGCAUUUCACUCCUCUCCAAAACAUCCUCAAUAAUCCUUUUUCUUUCUCUUAUGUUUCUUUUUUUGUUGAGUAUUUUGUUUGAUAAAAAUAAUCAUGGAAGUGCUAAGCAUGUAAAUAAGAUAAGCAUUGUAAUGCAAGGCCUGGUAAUUAUUACAUCAUCUCAGAGAGUUGGGUGAUCUAUGUGUCUUAAGAGCAAGUCUCUGCAAGAUGGAAGAAUCCUGUGAAUGUUAAAAUCUGAAAAUGACAUAGAAAAUUCCAUUUUGUAAUUUUUCCACAACCUAGAAGCAGGGUGAUAAAUACAUGUCUUCAACAUUUCAAUUGAAUUGACAUUUCUAUAUAGGUUUGCCAAUGAACUAGAACUUUUAGGAAGCUAAAUGAGCACAUUUCCAACUUUAUGUUACUUUUCAAUGAUGACAAAUUAAAAUUAAAUAUUUAGCAUUAUAUUCUCUGAAAUACAUGCAUGUCUGAUCUCAGCCAGUGAUUUGACAUUUUAAUUUAUUGUGCAUUUUAUCUAAACUUCCAUUUCGGUGUUUCUAAUGUAAUUAUUAUUAUUAUUUUUAGCAUGGUCUAUGUUCUCAAUUUUGCCACUACACUAUCAAAGAGAAGGCAGCUAGACUUAGGUUGUCUUCUAAAAGUGCACCAGCUCAUACCUAAACAGGUUAUUUUGGACUCUUUCUAAGCUGAAUAUGAUGGCCUUCCAAGGACAGAAUUACUGGCUCACAUGUAAGUGCAUUUAUUUUUUCUUCUCAAACUAUUCAACAGUGGAUUUCACAAUGGCAAAGUAGUGCCUCUACUGUCAUCACUUUGUCCUACACAGAGCAUCCUGGCAGAACAAUCUGUCUAAGGAAGCAGCAAGGUGGAAUAAAGAAGGGACCUUGAAAUAAGAAUGGUUUGUAUAGUUAAGCAGGCCAUGCCAUUUUCGCAGCUCCACAACCAAAUUUCAAGGUAUUUUCUAGGAGACUACAGAUUUUUCCACAGUGAUAAAGGAUUCUGGAGGAAUGGUGUAUUUCUUGUGUUUAAUUCUUCGUGAAUACCUGUAAUCAGGCUUCUUCUUCACUUUCAAGAGCAUACCUAUUGCAAUGUGUAUGUUUGUCUGUUUCCUUCUCACAGAUCCCAAAGGUGGGCUUCUUCUAUAAAGCAAACCAAAUCAGUAUUUGAAAUUUACUAAGUCCCUUACAGUGUUUUACUCUUUAAAAGGAUUCUUUGCCUGGAGAAAGCCAGGAGCAACGUGACUGAAAUUCUCCAUAUCUCCACUGGGACUUGAGCUGUGAGUUACAAGUGAUUUGCAGAGACUUUUGCCUUCACAGGUUUGACUGAGUUUAGGGGCACUUUCCCGUACAGGAAGGGGAUCAAAGGCGAGCUGCCUGAAGUCCAACUGCAGCACUGCGCCGUGUUUUUUUCAGUUUUCAGUAUCAAAGGGUAGAGGUACCCAGUGCAGGAACGGGAAAAUCUCUGCGGGCUAAUUCGCUUUUCCCACUGGCGGCAGCUGCUGAAGCCCGGUCCCCCGCAGCUGCCCCACCGGGCAAGCUGCUCCCGGGCGGGAAUUCUGGCCGCGGAAAUUCGGCUCCAGCUUAAUGAGACCAAGCUGGGCAGAGGCACUUAAAGCAAAUUCCCACUAACAUCCCUAAUAUAUCUGCAAUGUGUGCAGCAGAGGCGGUGACAGCAGCGGCAGCAGCAUGAGAUUCACAGUAUUAAUAAAGG
This 8925-nucleotide long non-coding RNA is filed under the name Taeniopygia guttata (zebra finch). RNAcentral describes it as "lncRNA (ENSTGUG00000029316.1)". Lineage: Eukaryota; Metazoa; Chordata; Aves; Passeriformes; Estrildidae. The record is from RNAcentral.